AACGCGUAUGCAACCUACCUUUAUCAGGGGGAUAGCCUCUCGAAAGAGAGAUUAACACCGCAUAACAUCAUCGGAUGGCAUCAUCGGAUGAUCAAAUAUUUAUAGGAUAAAGAUGGGCAUGCGUGACAUUAGUUUGUUGGUGAGGUAACGGCUCACCAAGACUACGAUGUCUAGGGGAUCUGAGAGGAUGACCCCCCACACUGGUACUGAGACACGGACCAGACUCCUACGGGAGGCAGCAGUAAGGAAUAUUGGUCAAUGGACGCAAGUCUGAACCAGCCAUGCCGCGUGCAGGAAGACGGCCCUAUGGGUUGUAAACUGCUUUUAUUCGGGAAUAAACCCUUUUACGUGUAAGAGGUUGAAUGUACCGAAGGAAUAAGGAUCGGCUAACUCCGUGCCAGCAGCCGCGGUAAUACGGAGGAUCCAAGCGUUAUCCGGAUUUAUUGGGUUUAAAGGGUGCGUAGGCGGCUUUUUAAGUCAGGGGUGAAAGACGGUGGCUCAACCAUCGCAGUGCCUUUGAUACUGAAGAGCUUGAAUACACUAGAGGUAGGCGGAAUGUGACAAGUAGCGGUGAAAUGCAUAGAUAUGUCACAG
RNAcentral lists this ribosomal RNA (594 nucleotides) under uncultured bacterium. RNAcentral's name for it is "bacterial SSU rRNA". It matches the Rfam family "Bacterial small subunit ribosomal RNA", at positions 112 to 704 of the family's 1533-position model. The record is from RNAcentral.